AGAACCUGCCUUUCAGGCAUCCUCUCCUAAAACUUUCAGCCGCCCUCCGGGGCGGCUUUUUUUUGGCUGGC
Molecule: small RNA, 71 nt
Filed under: Sphingobium subterraneum
Lineage: Bacteria; Pseudomonadati; Pseudomonadota; Alphaproteobacteria; Sphingomonadales; Sphingobiaceae
Description: Sphingomonas sp. S-II-13 Makes More Granules Regulator RNA (mmgR)
Rfam family: Makes More Granules Regulator RNA (mmgR)
About the family: SuhB later renamed mmgR (makes more granules regulator) was a putative non-coding RNA found multiple times in the Agrobacterium tumefaciens genome and related alpha-proteobacteria. Other non-coding RNAs uncovered in the same analysis include: speF, ybhL, metA, and serC. Several studies inSinorhizobium meliloti showed that suhB element is indeed a non-coding RNA:firstly it was detected on Northern blot and called Sm8RNA, secondly in an RNAseq study referred to as SmelC689.
Source: Rfam by way of RNAcentral